Molecule: long non-coding RNA, 3322 nt
Filed under: Danio rerio (zebrafish)
Lineage: Eukaryota; Metazoa; Chordata; Actinopteri; Cypriniformes; Danionidae
Description: lncRNA (ENSDARG00000117273.1)
Source: RNAcentral
UCUGGAAACUCCUCACUCUCCAUCCGCUUUGAUUUCACUCUGCUGUUUGUCUCUUUCAGGAAGGAGAAGCGAGAGCUGGGGCUGACAGUUCUGGUAGACGCUCGCAGACAGCAGACGGUUCCCUCCACACUGAUCUCGGCUCUGUCUCAGUUUCAGGCUUCUGUACCCAAUGCACUUUACUCAGUUUUGUUUCUGGUGGAAAAAGAAGCAGCAGUGAAAGUUGAGCGUGACGUCACAUUUCCGUAUGAAGUCCUGACAUCUCUAAAAGCUCUGCAGAAACACAUCGACUCCACGCAGCUCACCACAGACCUGGAGGGCACGUUUCCAUAUGACCACAGCCACUAUAUUCACUUCAGACAGGUGCAUAUUUACAUCAACACCUGUGUUUAUCUUCUUACACUCACACCAGGGGUCCAGGGGUCUGUUCUUUGUACAUGGAUUACUCAAUUAGCUGGAUUUAGAUAUUGAUGAUUUGGCAUGUUCCAGGAUCCAUUUGUUCUUCAAAACUCAUCUGAGACUUGUUGUCAUAACAACAGUUCUGGUAGCCAGGGCUGGUGCGUAUAUAGAGGCGACCUAGGCGGCUGCCUAGGGUGGCAGAAUAGAGAGGCCGGCGUCCCCGAAACUACCCUCACCACCCGCGCCCGCAGUUAUAUCUGCGUCUAGGAUGGCACAAUAGAGAGGGCAGAGUCUGCGACAGCUUCCUCACCCCCCCCCCACCCCACCCCACCCCACUGCUUUUACUUUAGUGUUGAGACCGUCCUUUGCCUAGAGCAGUGGUUCUUAAAGUGGGGGACGGGACCCCCCGAGGGGUCGUGGGGCAAUGAAGGGGGGUCGCCUGGUGAUUUCCAAAAAUCUAUUUAUUUUUAUUAAACCAUAAGAAUUAACAUAUUUUAUCCAUAACUAUACUGAAAAUAAAAAUUUUAGUUUAUAGUUACUUUAUACUAUAUAGUUAAUAUAGGAGCUUCUAGUUACUAGUUCUAUUGGAUUGCGCCCCUGGGGUAAUUACAUUAUAUUAAAGGCAGCAAUAGCGUCAGAUGCAUUUUGAUUUUAUAACAUCAGGUUAUACUUUCUGGCACAUUUAAAGCACUGACACAAAUUUAAUUGGUGUGUGUGCGUCAUUGCAUGCAAGGUUUCUGUAUUUAUAACCACCUCAGAGGAUAUUGGGGGUCGCGAGUCACUGGCAUUGUUAUUUUGGGGGUCGCGGGCUGAAAAGUUUGGGAACCGCUGGCCUAGAGCGGCAGUUCAGCUUGCUCCGGCCCUGCUGGUAGCUCAAACCUGCGUAGGUGCAGGUUCAUUUCAUAUAAACAGGAUUAGAUCGGUUCAGUUCAAGCAAAGAUAAUACUGAAAGUAAGUACCGAACGCUGAUAAUUUCUUACAGUAGUUAUAUACACUUGGGAAAAUAGUAAAUACAUAUAUAUAUAUUUUUUUUUUUCUUAGCUAUAUAUAUAUUUAAAGUAAAAUUAAAUUAUAUUUAAUUAUAUUUAAAGUAAAAAAUAUAUAUAUUAACAAAACGUAUGCAAUCUGCACUCCGAAAUAAAAGUAUCACCUGGUAAUUCAAAGAAAAAAAUUAUUGAUAUGAACUUUUUAGAUGCAAAAAUAAAAUCCCGGAAACGGGUUUAAAACUUACUUAUAGCACCGAUAUUGAAAAUAAAUCUAUCAUGAUAUACAGUUGAAGAAUUAUUUGCCCCCUUUGAAUUUUUUUUUCUUUUUUAAAUAUUUCCUAAAUGAUGUUUAACACAGCAAGGAAAUUUUCACAGUAUGUCUGAUAAUAUUUUUUCUUCUGAGGAAAGUCUUAUUUGAUUUAUUUUGGCUAGAAUAAAAGCAGUUUUAAGAUUUUUAAACACUAUUUUAAGGUCAAUAUAAUUAGCCCCUUUAAACUAUAUUUUCUCGAUAGUCUACAGAACAAACCAUCAUUAUACAACACCUUGCCUAAUUACCCUAACCUGCCUAGUUAACUUAAUUAGAACAUCUAUAGUCUAAUAUGAUUUACUGUCAUCAUGGCAAAGAUAAAAUAAAUCAGUUAUUAGAGAUGAGUUAAUAAAACUAUUAUGUUUACAAAUGUGUUGAGAAAAAUCAGAAAUUGAGGAAAAAAUUAAACAGGGGGGCUAAUAAUUCUGACUUCAACUGUAUAUUGACAUUGAAUUAUUGUCCAGCCCUAAUUUUAUGCCCUAAUUUUAUGUGUGUGUCUUUAAAUGCAAAUAAGCUGUUGCUCUUUCUCUGGUGCAAAGAUCAAAUAAAAUUGUUAUAAGAAAUUACUUAUUAAAACUGUUAUGUUUAGAAAUGUGUAAAUAUAUAAAAUAAUUCAAGUUGAAUGGAAGUGAAACAAACAAAUCUUUUUGUUUUUGUUUUUUUUUUUGGCAGAAAAUUGAGCCGUUUGCAUCAAGCUGCAGCGCUGCGAUCUCUUUUCUUCAGAGCUCCAUCGAGACACUAAACAACAUCAGCAAUCUGGAGACAGCUCAGGUAAAACUGUGCAUCUUGUGGAACAACAUAUUAAAAAUAUUUAUGAUUUCAUGAUCAUUUACUGUGGAAAACACUGAAACAUUUAACACUAGAACUACCGAGGCAGUCAUUUUGAGUGUUUUCCAUUUUAUUAAUUUAAUAACUUUGCUAAAAUGAAGCUCUAGUGUGGUAAUAUAACACUGACUCUUCCUAAAUGUGUCUAUAUUUCUUUUUUAACAUUGUUAUUUUAUUACAAAACACAAAAGAGUGAUUUCUGUCUUGAACUACCAUACUUUUCCCCGUGAGUUUGAAUCUGCAUGUGUCUAUUGCCUAGUCUUUGUUGCAUGUCUCUUUUUCUGAUAGCAGAAGCAGAACUUUACUUCAGAUGAAUCUUUUAAAGCAGCUGUUGAAACUCCUUUUGUGGUCCCGCUGUAGGAGGUGUCAGAGGUCAUAGGUCAGCAGAAAAGCCUGAUGAAGAACAUUUUGGACGACACUGAACUGAACCGGCUGCGGCUGGAGGGAGGAACAUUUCUGGCCCGGCUCAGGAAAGAGGAGAUGUGUGAAAACCACAACUACAGGUGCUCACUUAGACAUUUUUAAUGCUGUAUCAGCCUUUCAAGAUCAGUUUAAUGCAUGCUUGCUAUUUUUAAUUAGUACUGUUAUUUUAUUUAAUAGCAAUACAAAAAUAUAAAACAUAAAAUAUAGAAACAAAUUAUAAACAAUAAAAUAACUCACUCUCACUCACUUUCCUUUAUUAGUGGUCGCCACAAUUAUAAAUGCCAGUUUUUGGAAGAGUUUUAAAUUAAAUUAAAUUAAAUUAAAUUAAAUUAAAUUAAAUUAAAUUAAAUUAAAUUAAAUUAAAUUAAAUUAAAUUAAAUUAAAU